RNAcentral lists this long non-coding RNA (25937 nucleotides) under Linum usitatissimum (flax). RNAcentral's name for it is "long non-coding RNA (LUSI_LNC006766)". The record is from RNAcentral. Lineage: Eukaryota; Viridiplantae; Streptophyta; Magnoliopsida; Malpighiales; Linaceae.
UUUUUUUUUCCUUUCUACAGGGUUGGUGGAUCUGGUCUUGACUUGAGGAGCAAAGCAAGGGUCAGUCCUGUCUCCCUGUUUGGUUUCAUAUUUGAGUGAGCUCUGUCGUUUUUGUUUAAUUAAUCCUGUUUUUUUUUAAAUUUGAAACAGACACUUACCGGACCAAUCAAGGACCCGUCGGAGCUGCCGAAAUGGAACUACGACGGCAGCUCAACCAACCAAGCUGCCGGAGACGACAGCGAAGUCAUCAUCUAGUACGUCGUUUUCCGAUCAGAGACCACUUUGAAUCUUGUUGUUUUUUGUAGCGUUUCCUUGUGUGUGACUAUUUUGUACGGUCGUCUGGGCCAGCGCUCAUGCGAUCUUCGAGUGCGCAUUCAGGAGAGGAAACAACAUCCUGGUAAUUCACGAUACCCUCCUUUUUCGGACUUGUCGUACAGAGUAUCUUAAUAUCCUCCCGAUUGUCUCUCUUCCUUUAAUUAAACACCAUCAACCUGAUUACGACACCUAAUCUUGUUGAUUUGCCAAAUUUAAAACUAUCCGACAAAACAAGGGUUUCAUUUUUUACAGGUUAUGUGCGAUGCUUAUACUCCCGCCGGCGAGCCAAUCCCGACCAACAAGAGAUCCGCUGCCGCCAAGAUUUUCAGCCACCCUGAUGUCGCCAAAGAGGUCCCAUGGUAAAUAUAACAGAAUAACUCGAAUACACAUGUUAAAGUCUGGGUCUUUUUGCGCAAACCAAACCGAGUUACAGAAAGUUUGAAGCAUUUGAGGUCGUCGGAUUUGUAUUUAUUUCCGUGCCCAUUGAUAAGCGUGGUAGCUCAGGAAUCUGGUGAUGUGGUGGGGCCACUGCUGCCGUGGAUGGUUGAAAUUGAUUGAUUGGGUAGGCUGUUUGGUGGGGUUUUGUUUUCGUGUAGCCGGAAAAAAAUGUCUAGGGUCAUAAUCAUGUCCAGAAAGCAAACAAAUUAGCUUCCAUGAUUGGAAAUUUUGUUGAAGAAUACAGAUAACACGUUAUACGUCGUCGUUUUUUCCGAGACUUUCGUCCCUUUGCCAUAAAUUCUUGGGAACUAGAGCGGGAGUAGGUGGGGCUUGACUGGACUUUGCGUAAGUCAAGAGUCGUUUCCAGUUAUUGUGUUUUCUUAAUACAGUUUACAAUUAUAAAAAUUAACUAGUCUUGAGUGUGUUGUUGUAUUUGACUUAUCGAAUCCAACAUACUUUACGAACUAACACCGUUAUAAUAUUUAUUUAUGGUCUAUUCCGCUAAGAAAAACAUAUAAUCCUUGUUGAGCAUGUGAUCAAUGAAUCUGUGGACAACUCAAAACCCAUUUAAGCAAAGAUCAUUUCUUUUCCUUGUUGUCUGUCUCCACUAUACCUACUUUUGCAUUUUUCUAUGUUGGAAAUGGAAUCCAUGGUCACCUACUUUGUCCUCGAAUGGAAUAUAUCAUUAAAUAAGUAGAUACUUUGGGAUUCUCGACAUUUCCAUGUGAAUGCAUUCAUCGUCAUUUCUUUGUGUCCAAGUUAGUUGGCUGAAUUGCAUUGUUGACUUAGUCUUCCGAGUUAAAAAGCAGUAGACGUUUUCCAGAACGAUUCUAAUUAUGGAGAUCUAGUGUUCUUUCUUACCUCUUGAGUAAUGUUUGACUUCUAUAAUCAUAUCUCUUCCGAAAGUUAAGUCGAGAUUAGUGGAACGGAGUUGAGUUGACUUUGAGAGGACUUGUGGAAGAAAAGUUGAAUGAAGGAAACAUAAAGGAUUCCUAGGAGUCCGCUUAGUUUGGGAAACGCAAUUCCACCCGUUCAACUUUUUUAGAAAACAUGAUUCUUGAUGUGAAACCUUACCUUGAUUGAUUUUCGUGUCCUAAACUAACAUGUUGGUGGGAAAUCUUCAGGUAUGGAAUCGAGCAGGAGUACACUCUUCUGCAGAAGGAAAUCAACUGGCCACUUGGGUGGCCAGUUGGUGGCUUCCCUGGUCCUCAGGUUUGUGCUUCACACCAUCUUUCAACUUCAUUCCAUAUACUUUUGUCUUGUCUCUCUUCAAGUCAGCUAACGUUUGUUGACUUGUUGUUUCAAAAAAAGGGUCCCUACUACUGCGGAGUAGGAGCUGACAAGGCGUUUGGGAGGGACAUCGUAGACGCGCACUACAAGGCAUGCUUGUACGCUGGUAUCAACAUCAGCGGUAUCAAUGGCGAGGUCAUGCCGGGACAGUGGGAGUUCCAGGUUGGUCCUUCCGUCGGAAUCUCUGCCGGUGACCAAGUCUGGGUUGCUCGUUACAUCCUUGAGGUAUAUGCAUCUCCGCAACUCGUUUGAUUGUUGACCAUCCCUUAAAUCAUAAAUCUUGAUGUUGUUGUGUCUGUCUUUCCUUGGAACAGAGGAUCACUGAGAUUGCUGGAGUUGUUGUCAGCUUCGACCCUAAGCCAAUCAAGGUUCUGUGUAUAACUUGUUAUUCUUUUGUUCUUGAUAAAUGUUUCGGGUCGAAAUGUGUAAAUGAUUGUUAAAAAUCUUGAGUCUUGCAGGGUGACUGGAACGGUGCUGGUGCUCACACCAACUACAGGUUUGUGUAUAAAGCCAACAUCUUUCAAACUUACCAAUAAAUUUAAACACAUGUGAUUAUUAACUCGGAUGUCCUGGCUCGAACCGACCAGCACCAAGUCGAUGAGGGAAGAGGGAGGGAUCGACGUGAUCAAGGCUGCGAUCGAGAAGUUGGGGAAGCGACACAAGGAGCACAUCUCCGCCUAUGGCGAGGGUAACGAGAGGAGAUUGACUGGUAACCACGAGACUGCUGACAUCCACACCUUCACCUCGGUACGGUCCAAAUUUGAUUUUGUAUCUAACCAAAGCCAAAAGCUUGAUGUGCAAACUGUUAAGAAUAUAGUAGUACAAUGAGAGUUACACUACGCUCAUAUGUCCUUGUUGUUGGAAUCUUGCAGGGGGUGGCCAACAGGGGAGCAUCGAUCCGUAUCGGGAGGGACACCGAGAAGGACGGAAAGGGUUACUUUGAGGACAGAAGGCCGGCCUCGAACAUGGAUCCGUACGUCGUGACAUCCAUGAUUGCCGAGACGACCAUUCUGUGGAAGCCUUGAACAAGGGAGAGAGAUUUAACCAGAGAAUGAUUUGAUUCAGGGGAAUUGCCAUUUAGCAUUUGAUAUUAUGAAGAAAAACAAAACAGUUGGUGUUAAUUUUCAGAUACUGGUCUGCAAUUCCCUGGUGUUGUGUUGUACCAUGGUUUGUGGUUGGGUUGUUACAGUUUGGUCGUUCUGUGUUGAAACGGUUGGAGUCUGGUUUGGCUGGUCAGGUUUUAGUUUUACUGUUAUGGUUUGGUUUGCUGCAGUUGGCUGCUGCUUGUUUAUUUACAAUAAAAUAAAACCCACAUAAUUGUUUUUACUUUAUUGCCCAAUUUUACACUUAUGGUUGUUUGAAAAUUUACCAUGUAGUAAUGGUGGAUUCAAAAUGGUUUAGUACAUUGAAGAUUAUGUAAUUUUGAAAUUUCAGACUUGUAAAAUUAAUAUUUAGUCAUUAUUUAUAGGGUUUGUCAUAUUAGUCGAUUUAAAUUUUUUAAUUUUUUUGUGUGAAAAUGUUAACAUUUUCUUAGAAGUACACGGAAAUUGAUCAAUUUUGACAUGAAAAUGAAAUUUUUUUAAAUUAAUUAAUAUUUGACAUGCAUGUUGAGAAUGGUUAAAAAUUGAGAUUUUAUCAUAUUAAACCUUUCAAGUAAUAGCCAAAUGAUAUUUUUAAUACCUUGAAGCGAAGCUCCAUGAUUGAUCUACUAUGUGUAAAGAAAUUCCAGUGCUUGUCGAACUUGAGCAUGACUCGUUAACUCUUGACGCAAAACUCUCGCUCAAAUCAAAUUUCGAUCAUUAAAACUAUUUGAUGGAGUCCAAUUUGUACUGAAUCUGAAGCUCGCACACUAAAAAAUACACGCAAGUCAAGCUAAAAAAUAAAUUAUCUUAAAAUUUAUGAAUAUUUACCUUUUUCUCUAAUAAAACUAUACAAUCUAUGACUUGCAUUUUCAUCAGUAUAAUUACAAAGUACAUAUAAUUUAUUUUAUUAUAUGUGAUACAUACAUGCAUUAUUGACUCCACUAACAAAUCACACAUUUAAAUUUGAGCCAGCUCGUUAGCUUAUCAAAUUGAAUAUACCCAAAUUCAACAUCCGCCCAUAUAAAAUCAAGCUAAAUUAAACACAAAUCUUUUUCAAACUUUCGAAUCGUUGGCAAGUCGCUUGGCUCGUCCGUUAGAAAAGCUAAACUACUCUCUGUUCCGCUGUGAAAUGGGCUAAAGGAAGCCCUGUAAUUUUAGUAAUAUUAGCAGCCUGGGAAUAACGUUCUUUAAGAUUUAAAAAUUCUCAGCCCAGUGUUAAGAAAACCAGGCAUCAGUGGAUCCAAAGCCAGGAACCGAACAUCCAGAACAGAACCAGUUGAAACCUACGAAGCAAGCGCCAUCAUCAGUCAAAGAAGAGGAAGAGGAGAGGGGACAAAAAAAACCAGCUCAUAUUUCAUUACCUCUGUAAUUGGGUCUGGUCUCCAUAUCUCUCGUCGUCCUCUGUUUCUACUGCCGAAUGACUCGACCAAUUCCCUCGCUCUUUCUCUAAUCCUUUUCUUCAAUGGAGAAGAGCAACUAACGGGUUUUCUCGAUUUCCCGGAUAAGGUUUGAAGAUUCUUUCUUUCCCCCCUUAUUCCCUCGUGCUUGAAAUCGGUUCAUAUGCUUGAAAAUUUGAAUCUUUAAGAUAUCCAAAACCUGUACAUUCUGCUGCUGCUUGAAUGCAAUCAGAUUUUAUAUCUCCGGAUAACAAAGUUUCUGUCUUUAUGUAGUUAUAUGAGCUGGUUUCUUUGUUCUUUGGCAGUGUAAAAUAAUAUAGAGACAUAUAGGAGUAGUAGGUAAGCUGCGAUGUACGCAAGGAUGAUCAAGAAUUGUAGUAAUCUCAAAUGGGGUUCGGUGUUUAUGCCAUCCAUCCAGCUGAUUAGGCCUAACACAUUGCAUCAGACCCGUGUUCGAUCUCGCUUCCAUAGAGCUAAUUUGGUUCGAGUCUCGAAUUCCCGUGGCAGCUCGAUAAAGACGUGUCGGUUUAAUUCAUUCAGCACUAGUACCUCAGGAUGUAGGUAUGUUAGUAGUCCAACCAGAAGGUUUCAGUUUCGUGCCUAUAGUUCGGAAGGCGAUGGACGUAGUAGUAGUAGUAGUAGCAGCAGCAGCAGUAGUAACACAAGUGAGGAUAAAUGUGAUCCUCUAAAUGGAAUCUCGAAAGUUGGUGAUGGGAAGGUAGGGAAUGGGAAAGUAGGAGGAGGUGAGUCGAGAUGCUGUAAUACGCACGCGUGUCUAGCGGAACAAGAUCAAAGGGAAUGGCUUGAUAAUGAGAAGCUGGCUAUAGAAGCUAAGAAGAAAGAGUCGCCCUUUCUAACUAGACGGGAGCGGUUUAGAAAUGACUUCUUGCGGAGAGUCGUUCCCUGGGAGAAAAUCCAGGUUUCGUGGGAAUCUUUCCCAUACCACAUCAAGUAAUUACCAAUUACCACUCCAUUGGCUUGUUGUUGUUACUUUGGCAUAAAGUAAUUAACUUUAUGAUAUCAUCCAGGGAAAAUACGAAAAACAUUUUGCUGGAAUGUGUGGCAUCCCACUUAAAGAGUAAGAAUUUUGCUACUUCGUAUGGCUCUCGCUUGACGUCUUCAAGUGGGAGAAUACUGCUUCAGAGCUCUCCAGGUUAUUCUCUUUGCCUUGUAAUCUUAUAUAUGAGUUCUCAGUCCUUGGAGAUACUGAUUACUUCACAAUGCCCUAUGUACAGGCACAGAACUUUACCGGGAAAGAGUAGUGAGAGCACUUGCGAGGAAGUUACAAGUUCCUCUGCUGGUUCUCGAUAGUAGCGCUCUUGCUCCUUAUGUAAGAUCGGCUCACUAAAAUCUUAUAAACUUUUAAUGUGUAGCGACGAAUAUAUUAUUGUUCUUGGUGUUUGAUUUUGGCUUUUUUUUAGCAGUAUCUUGAUGACUACACAUCCGAGGCCGAGUCAGAUACAGAAUCGGUGGAUGAGGGUACAUCAGAGUCCGAGGUUGAUGAAGAGAAUGAAGCAGCGAAUGCUGAAGACGGUAGUAGUGAGGAUGAAGUUGUUGAUUUGUCGGCAAUCGAUGAGGCUGCCAUCCGGAAGCUCAUUCCCUUCGAUAUCGAAGAGUUUGAAAAGGUUGUCGCUCUUGUUCUAGAACAAAUAGAGUUAUUCUUGAAGCGAAAUCUGGUGAAAUGGUCAUUGUAUCAAAUGUGCCUUAAUUGCUGUUUCUUGAAUUGCAUGGUGCAGCAAGUCUCUGGAGAAUCAGAAGCAUCAAAGUCUGACACUGCUGACCCUUCUGAUAACUCCAAAAGGCCUCUCAAGAAAGGUUACCUCUUUUAUGCUAACUUUAAUUCUUUCUCCAUUUUCUCUGGAAUUUUAUAUAUGUUGUGUGUUGCCCUUACUGAAAAGAACAAUCUUUUGCUAGGCGAUCGGGUGAAGUACAUUGGCAGUUCAAAUUCUGUUGAAGCUGAUAACAGGUAUCUUUUCUGUAAACUUCUAACAUUAAUGCCAAUAAUAAUAUUCUACCCGAAUCUUUCUACAAGCCCAUUAUAUAUUUCAGGCCCUUAUCCAAUGGUCAACGUGGCGAGGUAUACGAGAUCAAUGGAAAUCAAGCUGCUGUUGUUUGGGAAAUGGCUAAUGAUAGCCAAGCAAAAGAAGGAGACAUGCAUAAGGAACAUGAAGAGUCAUCUGGAAAAUCCCCCGUAUUUUGGAUAAAUGGUAAAACUUUUAUGCAUCAUAGUAGACUAUAUUUGCUUUCGAGCAGUAUGCAAUUCUGAAGUUCUAUAAAAUCUUAAAAAAUGUACUUAUGUACAGUUAAGGAGAUUGAGCACAAUCCUGAUGCCGAGGCCGAAGACUGUUGUAUCGCAAUGGAUGCGUUAUAUGAGGUAAAAUGGAUAUAAUUCACGGAAAGGUGUUUUAUUAUUAUUUUGGAUUCAAAAUCACAACUUUAUCUGAUAUUUGCAAUUCAAUUAUCGGUUUACAGAUCUUGCAAACCAAGCAGCCGCUCGUAGUAUAUUUCCCAGACUUUUUCGUUUGGUUGUCUAGGGCAGUGCCCAAGUCGAACCGUAAGGAGUUUGUCCACAAGCUGCUGGAAAUGCUUGACCAGCUUUGUGGUUCUGUUGUCUUGAUUUGUGGUCAUAAUAACAAAGUCCAAUCCGGGUCAAAGGAGAAGGAGACAUUCGUAAGAUUCUUAGAUGGUCAAUUGGAAUCUAUAUGUAAAUUUACUAUCCUCCACCAGAUGUCAUUCAUUUUCUUUUUGGCUUCUAAUUUGAUGCACAGACAAUGAUCCUUCCGAAUUUUGCUCGAGUGGAUAAGCUGGUAAGCCUAUUUUCUCUUCAAGUUCCAUAAUUGUGGUGCAUUACGAACUGUUUUAGUGUGAUCAUUUCUAUCUGUUGCAGCCUCUUCCUUUAAAGAAUCUUACUGAAGGUCUUAGAGGGACGAAAACAUCUACUUCCAUCGAAUUCCAUAAGCUCUUUCCGAAUGUCUUGCGCCUUGACCCUCCCAAGGUAAACUACAACCAGUGAUUUAUAUGUUUGUAGAAUCUGUUAGGGAUGGUUUUGUUUUCUCUAUCCGUCAUAUUUAAAUGAAAUUUUGGUGUUCGAAUACAACGAUAAAUUGUUUCUUUAUUUUUGUGCCUUUGUUACAGGAAGAAGAUCUCCUUAUAACAUUCAAUAAACAGAUUGAAGAGGAUAAGAAAAUAGUGAUAUCUAGGAGCAAUUUAUAUGAACUGCAUAAGGUAUGGAGUCAGUUUCUACCUUUUUCUUUUUGUUUGUUAUUAUUAUUGAUUAUAUUUUUGACUUCUUAUCACGCAAAUUAUAACUAGCAAGUUCAAGCACUGAAAGUUCGUAUUGGGAUUAAAAUUACAGGUUCUCGAUGAAAACAAGAUGUUUUGUGCAGACUUACUGGAUGUAGAUACUGAUGGUUUAGUUCUGACUAAGCAGAGUAAGAAGCUGGCUAUGGUCUUACUUUAAACAAUUUCUAUGAUAAAAUUCUUGUUUACAAUGUUACUCGGCCUACAUUUGGCAGAAGCGGAAAAAAUCGUCGGCUGGGCUAAGAACCAUCAUUUGUCCUCCUGUGUACACCCAUCAAUAGAAAAGGAGAGAUUGGUUUUGCCUCGUGAAAGGUUCGAUUGCUCUUAUUAUGGUAAAUUUUGCUUGUUUUACAUAGUCAAAGAGCCUCUCUUGGAACUUAUUGAUCUCAUUUUUUAUUUGUAGCCUUGAGGUUGCUAUCUUAAGGGGGAAAGAUUACGAGAUCUCAAUGAGGAAACCGUCUCAAGAUUUGAAGAACAUGGCGAAGGAUGAAUUCGAGAGCAAUUUCGUGUCGGCUGUGGUCCCUCCAGGAGAGAUUGGUGUCAGAUUCGACGAUGUAGGAGCUCUGGAGGAUGUGAAGAAGGCCUUGAACGAAGUCGUCAUUCUUCCAAUGAGAAGACCGGAACUUUUCACUCAUGGAAAUUUGUUGAAGGUAAUUGAUUAUAUAUUGCACAGAAAGCACGGAAUCUUCUCACUCAAUGCAAAGUAAUCUUCUGACCCAAUGGAUAUUUAAUUAACGAUUUUUGCUUUUUGCAGCCAUGCAAAGGAAUAUUGCUAUUCGGUCCUCCUGGAACUGGGAAGACUCUCCUUGCAAAAGCACUUGCCACUGAAGCAGGUGCAAACUUUAUCAGCAUAACAGGUUCAAAUCUUACAUCUAAGGUAUGCACAAGAAGUUACAUGUAAUUUAAGUAUACUUUACAUAUUGAUUUGUUCUUCAAACGUUAAACACGUGAAUGAUGCUAGCUAAUGUCUGCUGCUGCUAACUCUGUUAUGCAGUGGUUUGGAGAUGCUGAGAAGUUGACAAAGGCCCUUUUCUCCUUUGCCACCAAGCUUUCUCCUGUUAUCAUAUUUAUCGACGAGGUACCUCCCUAAACUCUCUUUUUCACUAGUGCUUUGUCAAUCGACAUGUUCGACUUAACAUGUUGUGGUUGGCGGGGGCGGAAAGAAAAGGUAGAUAGUCUACUAGGGGCUCGAGGGGGUUCUCACGAGCACGAGGCUACGAGAAGAAUGAGAAACGAGUUCAUGGCAGCAUGGGACGGAUUAAGAUCGAAAGACACUCAAAGGAUCGUCAUCCUUGGUGCCACGAAUCGGCCGUUUGAUCUUGAUGAUGCUGUGAUUCGUCGUUUGCCUAGGAGGUAAGGCGCGCUUGGAACACUCUCUUUGUCGUCCGAUGAAUUUUAUAAAUGCCUUGCUGAAAAACAACUGUGCUCCUUGUUUAGAAUAUACGUGGACUUGCCUGAUGCUGCGAAUCGUUUGAAGAUUCUGAAAAUUAUUCUCGGAAAUGAGAACUUACAUUCGGAAUUCCAGUUUGAAGAACUUGCUAAUGUAACCGAUGGAUAUUCUGGCAGCGACUUGAAGGUACAUAGUGAUGGUGAAAUUGCGGAGCUUCGAACGCUAGGUCUGGAUUUGCUCGGAAUGAUUCUGAUGCUUCACUUGUUUUUUUUGUAGAACCUUUGUAUUGCUGCAGCAUAUAGGCCAGUGCAAGAAGUCAUAGAAAAAGAAAACAAGGUACAAAGAUUUUGUCUUGUGAACUGUUACAUGUUUAUUAAAUAUGGUUUCGAUACCCUGGCUUUGGCAUCAUGAACUUUGUCUGAUCUGCCACGAGCCUCUCGUAACACCACACGAAAACCUUGUAGGAAAAGAAGGAUGAUUAUGUUGAAGGUUCGUCGUUAAGACCCCUCACCUUGGAUGACUUCAUCGAGGCAAAGGCUAAGGUAAGACAGAACAUGUAAACCUUAACAUGAACCAAUUUGACAGCAAAGAGAAAGCAGGAAGGAAACUUGAUGUUAGUAGUUACUUGAACCGGUUUCAAUCGUUGUUGGUUUGUGUUUGAAUAGGUUGGUCCAUCGGUUUCGCACGAUGCAGCGAGCAUGAACGAGUUGCGGAAAUGGAACGAACAAUACGGAGAAGGAGGCAGCCGGCAGAAGUCACGCUUUGGUUUUUGAAACUCUAACCAGACAACAUAGUAUGGAUCAAAAUUCUUUUGCAGGGCAGCAGAAAAAUUAUAGGAGGGCGCAUGAAAAUGAGGAAUAUUUAGAAGUGGCCAUCUUCCUUUCUUUGUAACAUAUAGUUCUGCUUCAUCUUUAUUCUAGGUCUCUGAUAAAUUAUAUGUUGGGACAACACAGACAACGUCUUUUUCGUGUCAUGUACAUUGGUUUCGGAUAGUUCGUGUUGUGUUUAGGGUUCGUGUCAUGUACAUUGGUUUCGGAUAUUUCGAUCAUAUAGGGAAGAGGAGGAAGAAGAAGAAUCAUAUGUUGUACGUGGUAGAUUCAACUCGAUUGUAUUUGUUUUUUCGUGUGAAACCCUUCAAGUUUACUACUUUAUGAUGAAGAACAACAUAGGAUUUUGAAGAACAACCAUGGAAAAUUGCACAGCUCGAUGAAAUCUUCUAAUUUGAGUUGGUGGGAGAUUUUCGUAAUUAGUUUCUUUCCUAUCCCGUCUCACAUCUCGACUAAUUUGAAUAUUUCCUCCAUCGGCAGAACUACAACAUGAAGUCGAGAUUUUUAUUUAAUGAUCAAGAAGUCAAUAAUUAAAUAGGACAUCAUUUCGUCAAGUCGAAUAAUUUAAGUUAUUGGAAGUGAGGUUCAUAAUAGGAUAUAUUAUACUAUUCGUAAGGUACCAUUCGUAAGUGAGGAGACAAAUCGACGGAUUCAUUAGACUUUUUCCUAUCGUGUUUAGUCCCGAUUGCAUGUGGAUGAAGUUCAUCGAUUCAUUGGCUAAUUUCCAGUUGUGGAAAAAAAUGCAGCAUUCGUUUUUCCAAUAUACUGUAUAGCUUGUCCAACUAAAUAUAACUCUUGGUAGGAGGUUCGAGCAGGUUUGGAAUUCGGGUGAUAAGGGUUUUAGGAUUUUNNNNNNNNNNNNNNNNNNNNNNNNNNNNNNNNNNNNNNNNNNNNNNNNNNNNNNNNNNNNNNNNNNNNNNNNNNNNNNNNNNNNNNNNNNNNNNNNNNNNNNNNNNNNNNNNNNNNNNNNNNNNNNNNNNNNNNNNNNNNNNNNNNNNNNNNNNNNNNNNNNNNNNNNNNNNNNNNNNNNNNNAAUAUUAAAAUGCUCCGCAGCCAAAAAUCCUGAAAAUCCUAAAACUUUUUUACCUGAAUUUAAAACUGCUCUCUAGAUUGUGGUUGUUCGUCGCUUUCGACAGACCCAUGAUUCUGAUACGCAUGACUUCAUCAUUUGUGGAAUAAUAUCUCUGGCAUUAUGCAUUCACACAAUUUAAAUUAAGGUAACUAAUCUUAAUCUUUGAUUUAGUUGGCCUGGCUGGACGUGGUCUGUCAGCACUUAAUAAUAAUAAUAAUAAUAAUAAUAAGUAUGCCUCCAUAUAUAUGGAAAUUGGUUACUGCAAUGGUGAAAGCUCUUUAAGGUAAGACUGUAAAAAGUAAAUCAUAUUCCUGUUAUUACCAUUACCAGUAAUUAUAUAUAAGUCUUGCUGUCUAAUUAAAUACAAUCACUUGUUUGGUAAAAAACACUUGAAUCACUUGUUUCCCACCCAAAAAUAAUCGGAUUACAAAGUAGAGGCGCAGUUCGAUUUUCGAUAUACAACUCACUCGAUAUGUCGUGAGAAAGUUGGGGACCAGAUUCAUGCAAUGAGGCAGAGAGUGUGAAAACAGUAACAUCGUCCAUAUAUGAUGAUAAAAUAAAAUCGAAUCAAACAUCUCAUCAUUUUAGAAUACUUCACAAUGAGUUUUUCAUGUUCUAAAAGAAUUGUACAAUAUGUUUUUUUGUUGAAACUGUAAACGACAACUUUUUUGAUAUAUCACAAGACUAUCAUUCAACAAUUCGUCUUCUAUUCGAUUGUGAAACUUGUUUUCCACAUGAGUCAUUACAAAAAAUACUCUCUCAACAAUGAAUACCACUUGAGCCCCUUACCUCCGCCUCUACGUAAAAGAUAUUGAGUUUAGUCGUAUUUCUCCAAAAAACAAUCAUUCAACAAAGUAUCUUCUUAGUAUUUAACAAGAAUUACCCUUAGGUGUGUAUAAUUUUCUUUUAUAUAAUUCAGAAAACGGUCUAUAAUGAAUGUUAAACGUGUGACGCCUAAAGUUUCACCAAAACAAAUAAGUAGUAACUGCUCUUUAUGGUAUUAUUUUUCAUUUCAAGUCCGUCUAAUCUUUAAAUUGAACUCAAUAUAAAAAAUGUAUGAUAUUUUUUUGUCAAAAUAAAUCGAAAUUUUCAACAAAUAUAAAAUAAAAAAAAUAAAAAAAAUAUUUUUUCAUAAAAUAUAUUAAAUUCAGACUCAAAACUUCCAAAUUGUCACACAACUCUAGGACACUCAUGAUAACAACUUCACUCGAAUGAAACGUCUCAUAAUCUGACAUAGUUAAGAAUUAUUAGUUGACUACCCGCCCAAUGAAAACGCACGCAUGGCUCAGGUCAAGUGGACUCUACCUUGACCAAUCAAAACCAAAAAAUAUAUUAUAUUAUUUAAUUUAAAUUUCAUGAACUGCGAAUCAUCGGGAUCAGCACUUAUCCGCCGGAAAAAGAACCGGGCCGGGGAGAAUUUAUUUCGACUGACAGAUGGAAUCAGAAUCCAACGGUUGUCGUACUCUGAAGAUGUCAAAUCCAACGGUCGUCGCUAGCUAGCCGCCGGAGUUAUACCGCAGUUAGAGUUCAUUACGAAAAUAAACAGUACUACGAAUCUACGAUUACGAAUCAUCUCCGGAUUCUCUUAGAUUCUAUAAAUAUAAAUUCAAACAAGCUCCCAUUCUCACAAAUCUCUUACAAAUUCAAAAACCGCAAUUGUGAAAAACAACAUGACCGGUGGUAGUGGUGACGGAGGCACCGCCGUGCAGAGGCGGAACCGUUACGCCGACGAGAGCGGUCUGAACGCCGACGAAAUCAUCUCCGACGAGGCUGCAGCAGGGGAGGAGAAGAUCUCGGUGGAGGAGGCGUUUAAAGACGAGGAGGUGCCGUCGUGGAGGCAGCAGUUGACUGUUAGGGCGCUGUUCACCAGCCUUGUGCUGAGCGUGGUGUUUAACUUCAUCGUCUGCAAGCUGAAUCUCACCACCGGCGUUAUCCCUUCCCUGAACGUUGCCGCCGGCCUGUUAGGUUUCGCGAUCGUGAAAACCUACACCAGCUUGUUGUCUAAAGCUGGACUCCUCAAGCAGCCUUUCUCCCGUCAGGAGAACACCGUCAUCCAGACUUGCAUCGUUGCUUCCUCCGGCAUCGCCUUCAGCAGUACGUAUUGAUUGAGUGAUUCACAAUGCCACAUUCAAUUAGCUUAUUUUGAUUUUGAAUCCCAUUUUGUGCUGAGACCUAAUUUCAAUUUUUUUUCAGGCGGAACCGCGAGUUACAUGCUGGGGAUGAGUCCGUACAUAGCAGGGCAAGAGGAGAUCGGGAACAUCGCGUCGAACGUCAAGGUUCUGCAUAUCGGGUGGAUGAUUGGAUUCCUGUUUGCAGUCAGCUUCGUCGGACUGUUCUCAAUCGUGCCGUUGAGGAAACAGAUGAUUCUCAACUACAAGCUGAGUUACCCUAGCGGAACCGCCACUGCUUACCUGAUCAACAGCUUCCACACCCCGACAGGAGCGGCUCUAGCCAAGAAGCAAGUCGCCGUGCUCUUCAAAGCCUUCGGCGGCAGCUUCAUCUGGGCGUUUUUCCAGUGGUUCUUCGCCGCGGGCGAUGACUGUGGCUUCGUUAACUUCCCUACUUUCGGCCUCCAAGCCUUCAAACAAAAGUAAUUAUAAUUCAAUCUUCCUCUAAUCAUAUGACAUAUAUCCUUCCUCUGUUUAUAAAUUAAUUUCGUAUCAACUUGCAGGUUCUUCUUUGAUUUCUCGUCAACUUACGUUGGUGUGGGGAUGAUCUGUCCGUACAUGGUCAAUAUCUCCUUGCUGUUCGGAGCAGUGAUUUCUUGGGGGAUAAUGUGGCCCUUGAUCUCUGCCAAGAAAGGCGACUGGUACAGCGCCGAUCUCAGCCCCAGCAGCCUCCAUGGCAUCCAAGGUUACAGGGUAAGGAACCAUUGAAUACUUGUUUGAAUAGCAUUGCGAUUAACAAUACUCUGCUUUUACUCUGCUUAAUUCCAUGGAAAUUCAAAUUGUUUCUGCAGGUAUUUACAGCGAUCGCGAUUAUGCUGGGAGACGGACUGUUCCAAGUGAUCUUCCUGAUCGUCAAAUCAGCAUACUUUUACAUCAAGAACAACGGCAGCUCCAAAAAGGAUACAUCUUUAGUGGAAGGCACAGAUUCAUCGAGCUACGACGACAAACGCCGAAUCGAAUACUUCCUCCGCGAUCAGAUUCCGAAUUGGCUAGCGAUCGCCGGCUACGUAUCACUAGCCCUAAUCUCAAUCUUCACCGUCCCUGUAAUCUUCCCGCCGCUCAGACCUUACCACAUCCUCGUAGCAUACCUAAUCGCUCCGAUCCUUGCCUUCUGCAACGCGUACGGAUGCGGCCUCACCGACUGGUCUCUAGCGUCCAACUACGGCAAAUUCGCGAUCAUCAUCUUCAGCGCGUGGGUGGGACUCAACAACGGCGGCGUGGUCGCCGGACUCGCGUCGUGCGGUGUCAUGAUGUCGAUCGUCUCCACGGCCUCCGAUCUGAUGCAGGACUUCAAAACAGGGUACCUCACACUCUCUUCCCCACGCGCCAUGUUCUUCUCGCAGAUCUUCGGUACUGCGAUCGGCUGCCUCAUCACCCCUCCGGUGUUCUGGUUCUUCUACAAGGCGUACCCGAUCGGAAACCCGGACGGACCUUACCCUGCCCCGUACGGCCUGCUGUACCGCGGAAUAGCGCUUUUGGGAGUGGAAGGUGUCUCUUCUCUGCCGCGUAACUGUCUUGCCAUGGCGAUUGGGUUCUUCUUUAUGGCGAUGGCGAUCAAUUUGGUUAAGGAGGUGUUGAAAUCGUAUGGAUAUAGAGUUCAUAAGUAUAUUCCGAGCCCGAUGUGUAUGGCGAUUCCGUUCUACCUGGGGGCUUACUUCGCCAUUGAUAUGUGCUUGGGGAGCUUGAUUCUGUUUGUUUGGACUUGGUAUAAUAGGCGGCAGGCAAUGGAUUACUGUCCCGCGGUGGCGUCCGGGAUGAUCUGUGGUGAUUCUUUGUGGGGCAUUCCGGCGGCGAUUCUGUCCAUGGCGGGUAUUAGUGCUCCGAUCUGCAUGAAGUUUUUGUCCGCCGCUGCUAACAAUAAGGUGGACGCCUAUUUGGCUGGUUGAUUGUUUUUAUUUUAUUUUUAUUAGGGAUUUGUUAAUUUGUUGGUUAAAUUUUAAUUUAAAAUUAAAGGGACAGCCUCGGUCAACAUAUGCCACCAUACGAUACGUAUAUCAGUUUUUUGUUUUCGUAAAUUUAUCGCGUUUCGAAUUUGGUUUGGAGAAAAAGAAAAGUUUUGCAUCGAGAGUUUUUUUUGUCAUUUUGUGGGUUUUCAAUUGAAGUUAAAAGUCAAUUUUAUUUGGUGUUAUGUUAGUAUUUGAAAAUUUUCAAACCAGCGCCAGAUUGUCCAGCGACCAGAUCGGGCCGAAUGAUCUAGAUGAAGUAGAACCCUGCUUUGAUAAAUCCCUCGAAAAACUCGAUUAGGUCUCGUUUGAACAUGGUUCUAACCGGUUCCAUCAUGCAUGUAUGUAGUAAUUAAAUUAAUUUCAAAAACUUCAACACUUGUAAAGGGUNNNNNNNNNNNNNNNNNNNNNNNNNNNNNNNNNNNNNNNNNNNNNNNNNNNNNNNNNNNNNNNNNNNNNNNNNNNNNNNNNNNNNNNNNNNNNNNNNNNNNNNNNNNNNNNNNNNNNNNNNNNNNNNNNNNNNNNNNNNNNNNNNNNNNNNNNNNNNNNNNNNNNNNNNNNNNNNNNNNNNNNNNNNNNNNNNNNNNNNNNNNNNNNNNNNNNNNNNNNNNNNNNNNNNNNUUUCUAUCCAUAUAUUAUGAUCCAUCUGAUUCGAAGAAACCAAAGAGAUAUUUCCAAUUAAAGUUAACGUGCUAAAUACUAAAAUAUUUUAUCCUUAUUUAGGAUUAUUUUGUUAAGCUAAAAAUUUAUUUAUUUUACUAUUUAGGAUUAGAAUUAGUUUUUCUAUUAUUUCAUUUGGGGUUAUAAAUUUCAAACCCAAAAUAAAGGCUUGGUUAGUAUUGUGUUAGACAGACUAUUGAUGAUGAAUAAAAACGUUGAGUUUUGUGUGUUGAGUUUCAUACUCGUUUCAUUCUCUUGAGUGCAUGGUGAUUCGUAUAUUUGGAUGAUCGUUGAUUGGUUUAAGUGCGUGUCGAAUCAUGUAAGCGAAUAUGGUCACCUUAUUUCAAAGAAAAUGGCAAGUCAAAUAUAACCCCGUCCAACUCCCUCCUUCUUAACUCAAACAAUACUAAUUCACUUUAUCAAACAAAAAAAAAAAAAAANNNNNNNNNNNNNNNNNNNNNNNNNNNNNNNNAGAAAUAUGAACACACGUGCAAACAAAUAGACUUUUAAGUUGGACCUUAAAAAAUUUAACUUGGAUUUCUAACAGAUUCCAUCAUGCAUGCAUGUAGUAAUUAAACUAAUUACAAAAACUUCAACACUAGUAAAGUGGUAAAAAAUAUUUUUUUUAACUUCAUUUGAAGGACAUAAUAUAAUAAAACCUCAAUUUUUAGUUAUACCCGAUAUGCAAGUCAAAUAUCAGCCAAUUUGAAAAUUAUCAAUUUUCGUGUGAAAAUGGUCCAUUUUCGAAGGGGUUAACCUAUGAAAAUGGAACAUUUUUACAUGAAAUUUUCAACAUUUUAGAAUUGGCUAAUAUUUAAGAUGCAUGUUGAAAACGGUCAAAAUUUUAGAAUCGGCUAAUAUUUGACAUGCAUGUGGAAAAUGGCUAAAAAAUUAAGUUUCACUGUGGUAACCCAUAUAAAUAAUGAUCAAAUGAAGUUCAAAAUCAAUUUUACAUAUGUUAGUGAUAGAAAUCCACGUAGAUUAUUCCCAAUUUAGUAUUUUAGUCAUUACUCUCUCUUCAUGACUCCUAUUGAUGCAAGGUCAGCGAUGUUGAAAACAUAAUUCAAUUGUUUUUCUAUCCAUAUAUUAUGAUCCAUCUGAUUCGAAGAAACCAAAGAGAUAUUUCCAAUUAAAGUUAACGUGCUAAAUACUAAAAUAUUUUAUCCUUAUUUAGGAUUAUUUUGUUAAGCUAAAAAUUUAUUUAUUUUACUAUUUAGGAUUAGAAUUAGUUUUUCUAUUAUUUCAUUUGGGGUUAUAAAUUUCAAACCCAAAAUAAAGGCUUGGUUAGUAUUGUGCUAGAGAGACUAUUGAUGAUGAAUAAAAACGUUGAGUUUUAUACUCGUUUCAUUCUCUUGAGUGCAUGGUGAUUCCUAUAUUUGGAUGACCGAUGAAUUGUUUAAGUGUGUGCCGAAUCAUGAAAGCGAAUAUGCUCACCUUAUUUCAAAGAAAAUGGCAAGUCAAAUAUAACCCCGUCCAACUCCCUCCUUCUUAACUCAAACAAUACUAAUUCACUUUAUCAAACAUAUUCCAUCCACCCAAAAAAACUAAGAUGAUGAGAGAAAUAUGAACACACAUGCCAACCAAUAGACUUUUAAGUUGGACCCUAAAAAAUUUACUUUGGAUUUCUAGCCGUUUCCAUCAUGCAUGCAUAGAGUAAUUAAGCUAAUUCAAAAAAUUUCAACACUAGUAAAGCGUUAAAAAAUCUUUUUUUAACUUCAUUUGAAGGAAAUAAUGUAAUGAAAACUCAAUUUUUAGUUAUUCUCGAUAUGCAUGUCAAAUAUCAGCCAAUUUGAAAACUAUCAAUUUUCAUGUGAAAAUGGUCCAUUUCCGAAGGGGUUAACUUAUGAAAAUGGACCAUUUUUACCUGAAAUUUUCAAAAUUUUAGAAUCGGCUAAUAUUUGACAUGCAUGUUGAAAAUGGCUAAAAAAUUAAGUUUCACUGUGGUAACCCAUAUAAAUAAUGAUCAAAUGAAGUUCAAAAUCAAGUUUACAUAUGUUAGUGAUAGAAAUCCACGUAGAUUAUGCCCAAUUCAGUAUUUUAGUCAUUACUCUCUCUUCAUGAAUCCAAUCAUUACCCUCUCUUCAUGACUCCUAUUGGUGCAAGGUCAGCGAUGUUGGAAACAUAAUUCAAUUGUCUUUCUAUCCAUAAAUUAUGAUCCAUCUGAUUCGAAGAAACCAGAGAACUAUUCCCAAUGAAAGUUAACGUGCUAAAUACUAAAAUAUGUGUAGUAGUUUUCCUUAUUUAGGAUUAUUUUGUUAAACUAAAAAUUUAUUUAUUUUUCUAUUUAGGAUUAGAAUUAGUUUUUUAUUAUUUCAUUUGGGGUUAUAAAUUUCAAACCCAAAAUAAAGGCUUGGUUAGUAUUGUGUUAGAGAGACUAUUGAUGAUGAAUAAAAACGUUGAGUUUUGUGUGUUGAGUUUUAUACUCAUUUGAUUCGUUUGAGUGCGUGGUGAUUCAUACUUGGGUGGUCGUUGGUUCGUUUAAGUGUGUGUUGAAUCAUGCAAGCAAAAUCAAAUAUGCUCACCUUAUUUCAAAGAAAAUGGCAAAUCAAAAAAUAUCCCCAUUCCAACUCCCUCCUUCUUAAAUCAAACAAUACUAAUUUUCUUAAUCAAACAUAUCCCUUCNNNNNNNNNNNNNNNNNNNNNNNNNNNNNNNNNNNNNNNNNNNNNNNNNNNNNNNNNNNNNNNNNNNNNNNNNNNNNNNNNNNNNNNNNNNNNNNNNNNNNNNNNNNNNNNNNNNNNNNNNNNNNNNNNNNNNNNNNNNNNNNNNNNNNNNNNNNNNNNNNNNNNNNNNNNNNNNNNNNNNNNNNNNNNNNNNNNNNNNNNNNNNNNNNNNNNNAAUUGGCUAAAAAAUUAAGUUUCACUGUGGUAACCCAUAUAAAUAAUGAUCAAAUGAAGUUCAAAAUCAAGUUUACAUAUGUUAGUGAUAGAAAUCCACGUAGAUUAUGCCCAAUUCAGUAUUUUAGUCAUUACUCUCUCUUCAUGACUCCUAUUGGUGCAAGGUCAGUGAUGUUGGAAAUAUAAUUCAAUUGUCUUUCUAUCCAUAUAUUAUGAUCCAUCUGAUUCGAAGAAACCAAAGAGAUAUUCCAAAUUAAAGUUAACGUGCUAUAUACUAAAAUAUUCGUAGUGGUUAUCCUUAUUUAGGAUUAUUUUGUUAAGCUAAAAAUUUAUUUAUUUUACUAUUUAGGAUUAGAAUUAGUUUUUCUAUUAUUUCAUUUGGGGUUAUAAAUUUCAAACCCAAAAUAAAGGCUUGGUUAGUAUUGUGCUAGAGAGACUAUUGAUGAUGAAUAAAAACGUUGAGUUUUAUACUUGUUUCAUUCUCUUGAGUGCAUACUCGUUUCAUUCUCUUAAGUGCAUGGUGAUUCGUAUAUUUGGCUGACCGUUGAUUCCUUUAAGUGCGUGACAAAUCAUGCAAGCGAAUAUGCUCACCUUAUUUCAAUGAAAAUGGCAAGACAAAUAUUACCCCGUCCAACUCCCUCCUUCUUAAAUCAAACAGUACUGAUUCACUUUAUCAAACAUAUCCCAUCUAGCCACACAACUAAGAUGAUGAGAGAAAUAUGAGGCUAAUAUUUGAUAUACAUAUUGGACAUGGCUAAAGAUCAAGUGUGAGGAUGGUAACCUCUGUAAACAAUGGCCAAACAAAGUUAAAAAUCAAAUUACUUAGUGUUAUUUUAGCAUGAUGAAAAAUAUUGUUUAACUUAAUUUGGCUUUUAUUUGAAGUGCUUACGAUGGUGAAACAUCAAAUUUUAGGCAUUCCCAAUAUGCAUGUCAAAUUUUAGCCAAUUUGAAAAUUUUCAAUUUUCACGUGAAAAUGGUCCAUUUCAAAAGGGGUUAACCUAUGAAAAUUGACCAUUUUCACAUGAAAUUUUUAAAUCGGAUAAUAUUUGACAUGCCUGUUGAGAAUGACUAAAAAAUCAAGUUUCACUAUGAUAAUCCCUAUAAAUAAUGAUCAAAUAAAGUUUAAAAUUAAUUUUACUUAGGUUAGUGAUAGAAAUCCACGUAAAAUAACAAGAGAAACAAUACUUCGUCCAACUACCUGCUUCUUAAAUCAAAUAAUGAUUCACUUAGAUCAUUUUUACAAUAAAAUAAAUGGGCCGAUACGUUUAAUUGGCUACGCGGUAAAGCACGGACAAGCAACCUAACUAGUAUAUAUUAAAUCAAAGAUGAGCGGGAGUGAGAGAUGGAGGAAAAAGGAAUCGUGAAGCGGAAAACGCGGAUCCCCUGUACGGUAAAGAUAAUAGACAAACACCUCGAUUGUGGUUUUCUUUUUUGUUGCAUCGAUAACCAACGGACGACCAUGCAAAGCAGAUUAUAUAAGCUAGCAGGGAGACGCAGACUGGAGAUCGAUAGAGAGGCCUGGUCUGGAGACAGACUGCGUAUCUGUGUUCUGUAACGGCAGCAGCAACUUGAGUACAUACGUUACGGUCAAAGAAACUCGGCGGAUCACCGGCGGGUCUCUUACUCAAACAAACCACCGCACUCUUUGACUGCCACGUAAACCAAUCACUGUAUAGUUUUCUUUUCCAUCAGCACUCAGCAGCAUGCAAUACAUGCAGUACUGCAGCUAGCAUUAUUCAGGCUUCAGAAGUACGGUAUGGGUUGGAAAGCAUGCCCAUUCCCCGCGUAAUUCCUGCUGACUUUGCCCCCCAUGCAUGCAUUUCUUUGUUUCAGCUCCCGGCAGCUGUAUGUAUAAGAUACUAAUAAGUUCUGUAUAUAUAGACCCUAACAAAACCCAUUCAGUACUGUUCUGCAUGCCUAACAAAGAAGAAGAAGAUCAUCGUCGUAAUUAAUUAGCCACAUUUCAUGCUUUUCCACGACUUUCUUGAACUAUUCCUUCUAAGUCAGGAAAAGCUCAAGAAAGCCGUGGAAAACUAUGAACUGCUUGCUCUCUUCAGUUUCCUGCAUAUUCACUUUGCCUCUCGAUUUGGCCCCUCGUUGGUACGUAAUUCUCCUUACGUAUGUUGUGUUUUGAUAAUUCGAAUUAUUUGACUUGGGAGAGGAUCUACGUUUUAUAUUAUAUAGCCUUGCUACACCAAAUCAUUUGUCCCCCCGCAACGUUUUCUUCUCCGUUGUUGAGACAUGCCUCCUCUUUAACCUCAUCAGUCACUACAUAUCGUGCCGUACUUUACCUCAAGAUCUCUGUCGCCGGAUCUUUUCCUCUCGAAAUUCGUAUCUCACAGAGAUCUUCAUGACUAAUGCUCGUAUAUAUAUACUAUAACAGCUCCUCUAAGGGGAAUGUUUUUAUGUGGUGCUAACGAUUCAAUAACUAUCUUUUUAACUCUAGAAUGCUUUAGUUUAUGCUCCUACCUAUUAUAUGAAUAUACAGGUGGAUUUGAGUCAUCGCAAAUUAUGGUUUUCGGUUAGCCAUUAACUGCAUUGUGGUUAGUGGUUCGGUUUGUAGUAGGAAAAUAAUGCAAUUUUAAUCGCAUACCAUAUGGUUAAUCACAGAAAAAUCGAAUAAACCACAUUUUAAAAUAUCUAGCUAAUUUUAAAAUAUUAAAUGUGAACUGGUAAUAUACUUGUUUGGUUUCAUAAUUCCAUUUCUCACGCCUUUUCAAUUUUCAUUUUAGUCUUAAAGAAGUGGUUUUGUAGUUAACCACUAACCAAACUGAAAAUUAUAAUUUAAUUAGUGUUUAACCACAAACAGAAAGGUAUGGUUUNNNNNNNNNNNNNNNNNNNNNNNNNNNNACAGAAAGGUAUGGUUUUUGAUAAAAAAAAUUUCAUUUAUGAUGUGAUUAACCGCAUAAAUCAGUUUGGUUAAUCACAAACCGAAUCAUUUUCAUCGACAAAAAAAUAUAUACGGUCUAAUGAUGAGGCUAUUAUAAAAUAUGUACUCAUGGGUGGGGCAAGCUUUUUCAUUAUGGUUUAUGGUAUCUCUUCGCUCUAUGAUAGGUUCGGGGAGAGAUCGAGUUUUCAAAAAUAACGAAUGGUCUUAUCAAUACACAAAUAUAUAACUUUCCAAAAAUUUCAAUUGCGCUUCUCAUCAAUGGAGUCCUUAUGUAUAUAACGGAGUAGUACAAGUUUGAGCUAAGAUCCGUGGAUAUGUAUGCCCAUGUCAAGUUAUUGAUUGUAACGUUUUAUUUCACCAAUUUUUUAAAUGUUUUUAUAGAAAUUUAACCCCGAACGAUCUAUUUAUUUAAAUUUUUUAAUGAACCGGUUUGAUCAAGCCAUAUUUUUUAUUUUGCAUUUAGAUGGGCCGACAAUUUCGGCCUACGAUAUAACAGGCCUGCCUAUACUUGGGCUCCAAUCAACAGGUUCGUCGCACGUGUGCCAAUCCCCACACGUAUGACACACUAUUAGUAGAGCUGAAUUAAAUCCCCACUUUCGGAUUUCUAAUCGAAUCAGCUGAAGCCUAAAACCCGAGUUCUUCAGCCACCGUACGAAGAAAACCUUUUUUCCCUCCAAAAUCAAUGGCGGCGAGCGUGGUUCCACCGGGGCGAGGAGCCCGCAGGUCGACGGCUGACGACGAGAAGCUCGUCUUCGAGACGACGGAAGGGAUCGAGCCGGUGUCCAGUUUCGAGAACAUGGGAAUCAAUGACAAGCUGCUCCGAGGAAUCUACGAGUACGGCUUCGAGAAGCCUUCUGCCAUCCAGCAGCGAGCCGUUAUGCCGAUAAUUAAGGGCCGGGACGUCAUUGCCCAGGCGCAAUCCGGUACCGGAAAGACCUCCAUGAUUGCCCUCUCUGUUUGCCAGGUCGUCGACAUUAACAGCAAAGAGUAACCUGCCUGGAAACCCUAAUUUUGAUGUCUUUUCUUAGUCGCAAUGGGUUAAUCGUUUUCGUCGUUAUUCUUUCUCGUAGGGUGUUUCUGUUGCUGAAAAACCCUAAUUUCCAAGUUCCUUUAAUUGGAAACCUUAGUGAUUUACUUGUUAUGUAUGUUUAAUUUGUUAUUACUUUAAAAUUGAGUUCGACUCGGCUUGAAAAUCUUCUCAAGAAGGAGGCAGACACUGGUAUAGGCUCAUAGUACUGAAGAGGUUCCUAUAUGCAUUUGCAUCAUUGCUUGUUUGUUCAUCCAGUGCUAUUUAUGAUGAAAAAAGUACUACUUUUUAAUCGUUCGAUAGAUUCUUCGUGAAAGGGUUGUGAGAAUACAUUUCUUGACUUUUGGGCUGUGUUUCUUUUCAGUCUUGUCCUUUUGGAAGGCUCAUUUUGGUGUAUUCCUAACUUGAUUCACCGUUAUGUUGGAUUAAUCUUCCAGGGUCCAGGCAUUGAUAUUGUCUCCAACAAGGGAACUGGCUGCACAAACAGAGAAGGUUAUACUGGCAAUCGGUGACCACUUGAACAUUCAAGCGCAUGCAUGCAUUGGUGGAAAAAGUGUGGGUGAAGAUAUAAGGAAGCUAGAGUAUGGAGUUCAUGUGGUAUCAGGAACACCAGGCAGAGUAUGUGACAUGAUCAAGAGGAGGACUUUGAGAACUAGAGCCAUAAAGCUACUAAUUCUUGAUGAAUCUGAUGAGAUGUUGAGCAGAGGUUUCAAAGAUCAAAUAUAUGAUGUCUACAGAUAUCUUCCCCCAGAGCUUCAGGUUCUUUCUUGAUCUUACCUACACACAGAUGUGCCACCUAUGCAUUAUGAGUCUAGCUAUAAUUUACCUACUUGUGCUUCAGUUUUCUAUCGACUAUGUAACUUGAACAUAAUGAGUAGCAAUUGUUUGAAGUCAAAUGGCUAUCUAUUGCUUAGAAGUACCCUUCACGAUUUCCUUGUGAUACUUCCUUGCAGUUCUUGUUCCUAGACUAGUCAAAUACCUGUUUUCUAAGAUCUUUUAUCUAAUUUUCAGGUUGUGUUGAUCUCUGCCACAUUGCCAAACGAAAUUUUGGAGAUUACAAGCAAGUUCAUGACAGACCCAGUGAAGAUCCUAGUCAAACGUGAUGAACUGACUUUGGAGGUAAGUAAUAGCAUUAAUGGUGUAACAGUACUUUUAAAUUGGUCAUUGAAUUGUGUUAAGAAAUUUUCUUGUCAUUCUGUGAUGACAGGGCAUCAAACAGUUUUUUGUUGCUGUGGAAAAGGAAGACUGGAAAUUCGAUACUCUUUGCGACCUUUAUGAUACACUUACCGUCACUCAAGCUGUUAUAUUCUGCAAUACAAAACGGAAGGUAUUCACUUCAAUGCCAAGUUGGUUGUAGGGGAUAGUCUACUUGAAUGAAUCUUUUUUGUGGCAUAAAUCUUGUUGGUUGUACAUGGAAAUGAUUGUGCUCUCUGGAACAGGUUGAUUGGUUAACUGAGAAGAUGCGGUCCAGCAACUUCACAGUCUCAGCAAUGCAUGGUGACAUGCCUCAGAAGGAAAGAGACGCAAUUAUGAAAGAGUUCAGGGAUGGUACUACACGUGUUCUGAUCACUACAGAUGUUUGGGCUCGCGGGCUAGACGUUCAGCAGGCAAGUUGUUUCUCUGUUUUUUUUCAAUUCAUAAAGUAGUUUCUUGUUUAGCUGAGCUUCCUUUAUUCGCUGCAUUUCUUUGUCAGUGCGUUUCUGAUCUCAUGUGAUGUUUUUGACACUACAGGUGUCUCUUGUUAUAAACUAUGACCUUCCAAACAACCGUGAGCUGUACAUUCAUCGAAUUGGUCGAUCAGGACGUUUUGGCCGCAAGGUAAGUGAUACAAUGCUGAAGAUCAGUGUUCUUCUUUCAGCGAUGUGGCCAUCAGUUUCUUUAUUGAUGAUAUGAUGAUGGUGAUGCAGGGUGUGGCCAUCAAUUUCGUGAAAUCUGAUGACAUCAGGAUUCUGCGAGACAUUGAGCAGUACUACAGUACUCAGAUUGAUGAAAUGCCAAUGAAUGUUGCUGACCUGAUAUAGACUUGGUUUCGCAAGCCUGUUCGAGAUUUGGUGCAAAUCAGGAAGGGUGCUGGUGCUGGAGUUGCUGACUCUCUUGUGUUUCCUGAAAGAUGCAUGUAAAAGAUUGUGAGCUUUGAGUUUGUGUGAGUUAUGGUGGUGGCUGAACGUGUUCAUCUGGGGUUUAGUGUUUUUUCCUCCAACCAAACUGUAUGGAAUCGGAAUGCUCUCAGUGUCAACUCUGUUCUUCUUAUUUUUUUUGUAACAACUUUCAUGUUCGUUUAUAUUUAUGAGGUGCUUUUUUGUGUUCUUCUUCCUGUCAGGAACGCCAGUUUAUUUUUAUUACUAUAAAGACCAGUUUCUUCUGUUUCGUCCUGCUUUGUUAAAACCUGAGACUUGGGGGACCUUGUUGGCAAAAUUCAACAACUAAAUUUCUGAAAGCGUCCACCGGACUAUUCAGUUGCUUGUUAAUCUCCCCAAGGGAGAAUGAAAUGUUGAAAUGGCAUUGAGCUGAUUUUUUGCACACUCAAGGGGAAUACAGUAUAUAUACAGUACGGUAGUAAUACAUUUGAAGCCAUUUUCGUAUAGCAUAACAGAACGUCUAAAAGUUUAGUACAAAUCAUGUACUAAACAUAUUGGGGAAGAGAGUUUUAAACAUAUUUGAUACGUAUAUACCAUUUUUAUUACCGUAUUUACUUAACUAGCAUUGCCAAAUUCAUCAGAUAUAUAUCCAAAUUUUAUUCCGAAAUAAUGAAUUCUCCUACCUAGUGGUUACAAGCUGAACUAAACCGAGGGAAUCCGGUUUUAAACACAUCUCGGGCAAUAACUCGAUUAGCCGAGUCAGUAUAGUGAUGAUUGUCCCACUUAAUAUACACCGUCAAAUGUCCACAAAACACGAAAAUAUCUCGAAUACCAUGAUAUUGGAUGAUAUCAUAGUUGAUUAUAGAACAAAAAAAAUGAUGUGAUAGCAAUGGCGGAAUCAGAGGUGAGCAAAUUUAGGCCAUCACUCAAGAUCCCCCGAUAUAAAAGUGUGACCAAUAUGUUUUCGAGUUCCGCCAAUGUACUUUCAAACUCACUACAAACUAAUAUUCCUGGCCAGUAUCUCCGGCCAUUCUGGUUCUAUUAUUCGCUAGUAUGUUAAAAACACAGGCUUUUGCUUAUUGUUAAACAAUCCAGCGUUAGUUUUGUUUAGUACUAAAAAUACACAGAUACUUUCCCGACAACAACUAACUAACUAACAGAGACCAAAUCUUUGGGAAACCAACAAAUGGAAUAAAUAAAACAGAAAAAACGGCCGGCGGCNNNN